This is an RNA transcript of Brassica napus (rape), 1572 nucleotides long. RefSeq lists it as uncharacterized. The transcript is spliced from 4 exons. NCBI's taxonomy places the organism in Eukaryota, Viridiplantae, Streptophyta, Magnoliopsida, Brassicales, Brassicaceae. The record is from RefSeq and is a predicted model, not a curated record.
CCGUGUUAACUCAAAUAAAGCAUAAUCUUUCCAUCUUCCUCGCGAUUUCUUCUACCGUUGUGCGAUAACGAGUUUUUCACACUUUCAAUGGCGAGUCCAAGUGCUGUAUCUGAAGAUAGGAAAUCAGAUGACCUUGAAAUCGUCUCCGUCGGGGAUCUUUAUAGCGGCUCCUGUGCUAAGAAGUACUGGAGUUCAUCUAGGAGAAAAAAUCGUUUCCCUUAUCCUGUGGGCUAUAAAGUUGUUUGAGCUCACAAUGGGAGCACAUAUUAUAUGGAGAUUGAAGAAGGUGCUAAAGUACCUUUGUUUCUGGUAUGUUGCUGAUUCCCUUUAAAUCUUAUACAAGGUUGUGCAUACGCUUUUUUUUAGAAUAGAGCAGAGUCUUACUCUAUUGAUGCUGAUACUCCCGACACAAGUUUGGCAAGGAAUCAGCAAUAUUUAAUUAGAUUUUAAGUUUAUUUUAAAUGUUGCAAGAUCAUGUGUUGAGAAUCUCUUUUACUGAUCCUUUUUAUUACAAUUUAACAAGAAAUCGCUAUCGCAAGAUCAUGUGUUGAGAAUCUGAACAUAUGAUACAAAUCAUUAAUUUUAAUCCCCUUUACGGGGCUUUAUAGCCCACAAGAUAAGGGAAACGAUAUUUUUCCUGAUGAUUACUGGAGUAUUAAAAAGGAUCUCCACCUAUAAAAGGUAAGGGCCUCCACCAGUGAGAAUCAAUUUUCACAGUUCCAAUUUCAUUCAAUAUUUCUUUCUUGGUAUAAUCAUAAUGGCUAAGCAGUCUUUACUACUUGCUAAUUUGAAGGCCGGUUGCUGUUCUUCCACUGUAGAUGUGCAGUUGCUCAGAUUCUGGGAAGUUGAUGGGAGUUGUGGAUUCCUUUUCAGUCAAGUCUGUAAUGGAAUUUGUGUCCUCAUGUUAAACUGAUUGUCAUCUAUAGACUGUCAUAACUAUUUUUAUGAUCCGGUUCUUCAUGAUUCUAAAAAAAUUUAGCCUUUUAUAUCUACAUGUGCUUGAAUACGACGGUCUGGUACAUAACAUCGUUCUAGCUUUGUUCUCCCAAGUUAUCUCCUUAUAAAAUACUGAGCAAUUGAAUCUGACAGUAUUGUGAUCUUCUUUCUAGCUCCAACUCUGCUUUGAUUCUAUGGAAAAUCGUUUCAUGUGCAGCUCUUCGCACCAGCAAGAGAGGAAUGGCUGUGGCUACACAUGCCCCAAUCUAAGUCCCCUAAUCUGCUAUUCAGCCGAGCUACUCGCUGCGGAAGGCACCUCAGUCAUGAAAGGUGCGGUGUAACUACAGCUAUGGUUGCAAUAAAACGUCACACAUGAAACAAGCCAGAGUGAUCAAAAUUCCAAAGGCAUAAUACUUUGAAAUCCUGGAGUAAUCAUAAAGACUAUUGUGCUUUUGUUUGGUGUUUAUAGAAAAUAGAUGUCAUAUGCAACUGAUGCCAAUAUUAUAGUAUUUUAGAUCACUUAUAAUUAAUAAUAUUUAUUUGGUUUCUACUGCAGUCGAGCUCAUUGUAAUAAAACAAAUCUACUUUUGAAUUUUGAAAGGAUAAUUGUGAAUUAAAUGAGUUGCAACUAUUUAA